UACGGAGGGGGCUAGCGUUGUUCGGAAUUACUGGGCGUAAAGCGCACGUAGGCGGCUUUGUAAGUUAGAGGUGAAAGCCUGGGGCUCAACUCCAGAACUGCCUUUAAGACUGCAUCGCUUGAAUCAUGGAGAGGCGGGUGGAAUUCCGAGUGUAGAGGUGAAAUUCGUAGAUAUUCGGAAGAACACCAGUGGCGAAGGCGGCCCGCUGGACAUGUAUUGAC
Molecule: ribosomal RNA, 221 nt
Filed under: uncultured bacterium
Lineage: Bacteria
Description: partial 16S ribosomal RNA
Rfam family: Bacterial small subunit ribosomal RNA
Source: RNAcentral